This is a long non-coding RNA of Patiria miniata (bat star), 406 nucleotides long. RefSeq lists it as uncharacterized. Lineage: Eukaryota; Metazoa; Echinodermata; Asteroidea; Valvatida; Asterinidae. The transcript has 3 exons. The record is from RefSeq and is a predicted model, not a curated record.
GCGUCAAUCGGUGUUACUCCUGGGGCAGUCAAGGAGGAUGUUAUUGCGACUCAGCGUGCACACAUUUCGGUGACUGUUGUUCAGACUUCACUGCUGUCUGCACACGCGCACCUGGUACCGAUAUCCCUGGUAAUGCUUCGUGUCAGUUCCGAUGUUACACAUGGGGCAGUCAAGGAGGUUGCUAUUGUGAUUCCUCGUGCCCGUAUUUUGGCGACUGCUGUCCCGACUACAAUAUCUAUUGCGUUCAUUCAACACCAGAUGACUCUGGCGAAGCAACCUGCGUCAAUCGAUGUUACUCCUCGGGCAGUCAAGGAGGAUGCUUUUGCGACUCGGCGUGUACGUAUUUCAAUGACUGUUGUGCGGACUUCAAUUCUGUUUGCACACGCCAACCUGCAACUGAUAACCC